RNAcentral lists this ribosomal RNA (460 nucleotides) under uncultured bacterium. Its description in RNAcentral is "partial 16S ribosomal RNA". It matches the Rfam family "Bacterial small subunit ribosomal RNA", at positions 338 to 795 of the family's 1533-position model. The record is from RNAcentral.
CCUACGGGUGGCUGCAGUGAGGAAUAUUGGUCAAUGGACGAGAGUCUGAACCAGCCAAGUAGCGUGAAGGAUGACUGCCCUAUGGGUUGUAAACUUCUUUUAUAUGGGAAUAAAACGUUCCACGUGUGGGAUUUUGUAUGUACCAUAUGAAUAAGGAUCGGCUAACUCAGUGCCAGCAGCCGCGGUAAUACGGAGGAUCCGAGCGUUAUCCGGAUUUAUUGGGUUUAAAGGGAGCGUAGGUGGAUUGUUAAGUCAGUUGUGAAAGUUUGCGGCUCAACCGUAAAAUUGCAGUUGAUACUGGCAGUCUUGAGUACAGUAGAGGUGGGCGGAAUUCGUGGUGUAGCGGUGAAAUGCUUAGAUAUCACGAAGAACUCCGAUUGCGAAGGCAGUUCACUGGACUGCAACUGACACUGAGGCUCGAAAGUGUGGGUAUCAAACAGGAUUAGAUACCCCAGUAGUC